Molecule: unclassified non-coding RNA, 236 nt
Filed under: air metagenome
Description: partial contains small subunit ribosomal RNA, internal transcribed spacer 1, and 5.8S ribosomal RNA
Rfam family: Eukaryotic small subunit ribosomal RNA (bases 1-46)
Source: RNAcentral
AAGUCGUAACAAGGUUUCCGUAGGUGAACCUGCGGAAGGAUCAUUAAAGAGACGUUGCCCUUCGGGGUAUACCUCCCACCCAUUGUUUAUUUACUUUGUUGCUUUGGCAGGCCCGGCUUCGGCCCACCGGCUCCGGCUGGUCAGUGUCUGCCAGAGGAUACCAAAACUCUGUUUGUUAAUAUUGUCUGAGUACUAUAUAAUAGUUAAAACUUUCAACAACGGAUCUCUUGGUUCUG